This 520-nucleotide unclassified non-coding RNA is filed under the name uncultured Glomus. RNAcentral's name for it is "SSU rRNA". It matches the Rfam family "Eukaryotic small subunit ribosomal RNA", at positions 569 to 1090 of the family's 1831-position model. The record is from RNAcentral. Lineage: Eukaryota; Fungi; Glomeromycota; Glomeromycetes; Glomerales; Glomeraceae.
AGCAGCCGCGGUAAUUCCAGCUCCAAUAGCGUAUAUUAAAGUUGUUGCAGUUAAAAAGCUCGUAGUUGAAUUUCGGGAUCAAUAUGUUGGUCGUGCCUUGGUACGUACUGGCAUUAUUGGUUUCUACCUUCUGAAGAACCUCGAUGUCAUUAAUUUGGUGUCUUGGGGAAUCAGGACUGUUACUUUGAAAAAAUUAGAGUGUUUAAAGCAGGCUCGCGCUUGAAUACAUUAGCAUGGAAUAAUGAAAUAGGACGUUUGAUUCUAUUUUGUUGGUUUCUAGGAUCGACGUAAUGGUUAAUAGGGAUAGUUGGGGGCAUUAGUAUUCAAUUGUCAGAGGUGAAAUUCUUGGAUUUAUUGAAGACUAACUACUGCGAAAGCAUUUGCCAAGGAUGUUUUCAUUAAUCAAGAACGAAAGUUAGGGGAUCGAAGACGAUCAGAUACCGUCGUAGUCUUAACCAUAAACUAUGCCGACUAGGGAUCGGAUGAUGUUAAUUUUUUAAUGUACUCAUUCGGCGCCUUA